GCAUCGGUGAUUCAGUGGUAGAAUGCUCGCCUGCCACGCGGGCCCGGGUUCGAUUCCCGGCCGAUGCA
This 68-nucleotide transfer RNA is filed under the name Ancylostoma duodenale. It matches the Rfam family "tRNA". Rfam says of the family: Transfer RNA (tRNA) molecules are approximately 80 nucleotides in length. Their secondary structure includes four short double-helical elements and three loops (D, anti-codon, and T loops). Further hydrogen bonds mediate the characteristic L-shaped molecular structure. tRNAs have two regions of fundamental functional importance: the anti-codon, which is responsible for specific mRNA codon recognition, and the 3' end, to which the tRNAs corresponding amino acid is attached (by aminoacyl-tRNA synthetases). tRNAs cope with the degeneracy of the genetic code in two manners: having more than one tRNA (with a specific anti-codon) for a particular amino acid; and 'wobble' base-pairing, i.e. permitting non-standard base-pairing at the 3rd anti-codon position. Lineage: Eukaryota; Metazoa; Nematoda; Chromadorea; Rhabditida; Ancylostomatidae. The record is from Rfam by way of RNAcentral.